CGGAAUUAGAAGUUGCCCGAGGUCAAGGGCC
Molecule: small RNA, 31 nt
Filed under: Bombyx mori (domestic silkworm)
Lineage: Eukaryota; Metazoa; Arthropoda; Insecta; Lepidoptera; Bombycidae
Description: ovarian small RNA-14440
Source: RNAcentral